Molecule: ribosomal RNA, 301 nt
Filed under: uncultured bacterium
Lineage: Bacteria
Description: partial 16S ribosomal RNA
Rfam family: Bacterial small subunit ribosomal RNA
Source: RNAcentral
CAGUCGCCACGGUAAUACGUAGGCGGCAAGCGUUGUCCGGAAUUAUUGGGCGUAAAGGGCUCGCAGGCGGUUUCUUAAGUCUGAUGUGAAAGCCCCCGGCUCAACCGGGGAGGGUCAUUGGAAACUGGGAAACUUGAGUGCAGAAGAGGAGAGUGGAAUUCCACGUGUAGCGGUGAAAUGCGUAGAGAUGUGGAGGAACACCAGAGGCGAAGGCGACUCUCUGGUCUGUAACUGACGCUGAGGAGCGAAAGCGUGGGGAGCGAACAGGAUUAGAUACCCCAGUAGUCCCUGUCUCUUAUAC